This 453-nucleotide long non-coding RNA is filed under the name Struthio camelus australis. RNAcentral's name for it is "lncRNA (ENSSCUG00000004762.1)". Lineage: Eukaryota; Metazoa; Chordata; Aves; Struthioniformes; Struthionidae. The record is from RNAcentral.
UGUCAGGACACAGGAGGUUUUCACCUCCCUGGCAGUGCUGGUUUGACUGCUCGCACAAGCAGGCUCUGCAAAGGGUUGCAAACCUAUGAUGGGGGAGGGCGAGGAAGGCAAAUAGGUAGGAAUGAUAACUUGGGUUUUGUUUUGUUUUGUUUUUUUACAUUUUAUUUUUUUUGUUUACAUUUUACUUUAUUUUUUUUCCCCAAAUUGAUUACCAGUUGUGCUUUCGAAGCACCAUUUACAACGCGGAUCAAAAACCGAGGAGGUCUCGUUUAAAUCCACGUCAAACAGCGAGUUUCCAUAUCAGCGUUGCUCAGCCUGUGACCUGCUGCCUGUUGGUGGUCUCUCAGACAUUGGAAGGUGGUCCGUGAAAGAAGCGCAGUAAAAUUAAAUGUUCCAGACUCUGCUUAUGGGCUGGUUCUCGACUGCUUGCCAGCAUUGUCUGAGAAGUACAAG